GUGGUGCUUGCUUGAGACCAUAGAUUGAUUUUCUUAGGCGGCAAACAUGAUGUUGUUUUUCUGGGUGAAUGAAGCCAGGAGGUUGUUGCAUAUAAACCUCUUCACUCAAGAAGCCAUGGAGAAAUGCAUUAUUGACAUCUAGUUGACGGAGUGGCCAAUUAUGUUGCAGGGCUAAAGAAAGAACUAGUCUUAUCGUUGUUGGCUUGACAACAGGGCUGAAUGUUUGUGUGUAAUCUAGUCCUGGUCUUUGAUGAAAGCCUUUGGCCACGAGUCUAGCCUUGUACCUGUCAAUAUCACCAUUGGGUUUUCUUUUGAUUCUGUAAACCCAUUUGCACCCUAUAAGAUUUGUAGCUUGAGGUUGAGGUACCAACUCCCAUGUGCCUUGUUGGAUUAAAGCAUC
This 400-nucleotide long non-coding RNA is filed under the name Medicago truncatula (barrel medic). RNAcentral describes it as "long non-coding RNA (MTRU_LNC008417)". The record is from RNAcentral. Lineage: Eukaryota; Viridiplantae; Streptophyta; Magnoliopsida; Fabales; Fabaceae.